GACGGAGGAUGCAAGCGUUAUCCGGAAUGAUUGGGCGUAAAGCGUCCGCAGGUGGCAGUUCAAGUCUGCUGUCAAAGACCGGGGCUUAACUUCGGAAAGGCAGUGGAAACUGAACAGCUAGAGUAUGGUAGGGGCAGAGGGAAUUCCUGGUGUAGCGGUGAAAUGCGUAGAGAUCAGGAAGAACAUCGGUGGCGAAGGCGCCCUGCUGGACCAUAACUGACACUCAGGGACGAAAGCUAGGGGAGCGAAUGGG
This 253-nucleotide ribosomal RNA is filed under the name uncultured bacterium. RNAcentral's name for it is "partial 16S ribosomal RNA". It matches the Rfam family "Bacterial small subunit ribosomal RNA", at positions 524 to 776 of the family's 1533-position model. The record is from RNAcentral.